UAGGGAAUCUUCGGCAAUGGACGAAAGUCUGACCGAGCAACGCCGCGUGAGUGAAGAAGGUUUUCGGAUCGUAAAACUCUGUUGUUAGAGAAGAACAAGGACGUUAGUAACUGAACGUCCCCUGACGGUAUCUAACCAGAAAGCCACGGCUAACUACGUGCCAGCAGCCGCGGUAAUACGUAGGUGGCAAGCGUUGUCCGGAUUUAUUGGGCGUAAAGCGAGCGCAGGCGGUUUCUUAAGUCUGAUGUGAAAGCCCCCGGCUCAACCGGGGAGGGUCAGUGGAAACUGGGAGACUUGAGUGCAGAAGAGGAGAGUGGAAUUCCAUGUGUAGCGGUGAAAUGCGUAGAUAUAUGGAGGAACACCAGUGGCGAAGGCGGCUCUCUGGUCUGUAACUGACGCUGAGGCUCGAAAGCGGGGGGAGCAAACAGG
This 429-nucleotide ribosomal RNA is filed under the name Gemmatimonadota bacterium. RNAcentral describes it as "Gemmatimonadetes bacterium partial 16S ribosomal RNA". It matches the Rfam family "Bacterial small subunit ribosomal RNA", at positions 355 to 776 of the family's 1533-position model. The record is from RNAcentral. Lineage: Bacteria; Pseudomonadati; Gemmatimonadota.